RNAcentral lists this ribosomal RNA (497 nucleotides) under uncultured bacterium. Its description in RNAcentral is "partial 16S ribosomal RNA". It matches the Rfam family "Bacterial small subunit ribosomal RNA", at positions 28 to 507 of the family's 1533-position model. The record is from RNAcentral.
GAUGAACGCUGGCGGCGUACCUAAUACAUGCAAGUCGAGCGAACAGACGAGGAGCUUGCUCCUCUGACGUUAGCGGCGGACGGGUGAGUAACACGUGGAUAACCUACCUAUAAGACUGGGAUAACUUCGGGAAACCGGAGCUAAUACCGGAUAAUAUAUUGAACCGCAUGGUUCAAUAGUGAAAGACGGUUUUGCUGUCACUUAUAGAUGGAUCCGCGCCGCAUUAGCUAGUUGGUAAGGUAACGGCUUACCAAGGCGACGAUGCGUAGCCGACCUGAGAGGGUGAUCGGCCACACUGGAACUGAGACACGGUCCAGACUCCUACGGGAGGCAGCAGUAGGGAAUCUUCCGCAAUGGGCGAAAGCCUGACGGAGCAACGCCGCGUGAGUGAUGAAGGUCUUCGGAUCGUAAAACUCUGUUAUUAGGGAAGAACAAAUGUGUAAGUAACUAUGCACGUCUUGACGGUACCUAAUCAGAAGGCCACGGCUAACUACGUG